Molecule: long non-coding RNA, 421 nt
Filed under: Panax ginseng (ginseng)
Lineage: Eukaryota; Viridiplantae; Streptophyta; Magnoliopsida; Apiales; Araliaceae
Description: long non-coding RNA (PGIN_LNC009201)
Source: RNAcentral
GCCUAGGUCGCAUUUGGAGCAUUUCAUCGAACAGAUUGAGUGCAUGUUCGAGCUUAUUAACAUUGUCAAAACAAAAUCUAGGUCGGUUUGAACUAGGAAUAAUAGAAUGAGAGUGAAAACGAGAGUGGGAAAAGAAAAUACCUUCAUAAUCAUUACCAAGAAUGGGUCUUCUUCUCAAGAUGAAAGAGACAGCUGUAGAAACACAAUUUCUCUUCAUUAACAUCUUCAACCGUUUAUGGAGACAAAAAAAAAGGUUUCAAUUGGAGUAAUAAUGUGUAUAGGAAGAUUGAAUGAACCCUAAUACUGUUUUGAAAGGAAAUAAUUUGGUAGUAAUUUAAUUGGUUUCUAUCCAAAAAUCAUGUUUUUUGAGUUUCUCAUAGCCAGGCCGCUGGGUAGCAAGUCAGAGAAAUGGGUGGAAAAU